UACGUAGGGUCCGAGCGUUGUCCGGAAUUACUGGGCGUAAAGAGCUCGUAGGUGGUUUGUCGCGUUGUUCGUGAAAACUCACAGCUUAACUGGGGGCGUGCGGGCGAUACGGGCAGACUGGAGUACUGCAGGGGAGACUGGAAUUCCUGGUGUAGCGGUGGAAUGCGCAGAUAUCGGGAAGAACACCCGUGGCGAAGGCGGCUCUCUGGGACGGUACUGACGCUGAGACGCGAAAGCGUGGGGAGCGAACAGG
Molecule: ribosomal RNA, 253 nt
Filed under: uncultured bacterium
Lineage: Bacteria
Description: partial 16S ribosomal RNA
Rfam family: Bacterial small subunit ribosomal RNA
Source: RNAcentral